RNAcentral lists this ribosomal RNA (894 nucleotides) under uncultured bacterium. RNAcentral's name for it is "bacterial SSU rRNA". It matches the Rfam family "Bacterial small subunit ribosomal RNA", at positions 8 to 916 of the family's 1533-position model. The record is from RNAcentral.
AGAGUUUGAUCAUGGCUCAGAAUGAACGUGGCGGCGUGGAUUAGGCAUGCAAGUCGAACGUUAGCGGUAGCAAUACCGCAAAAGUGGCGAAAGGGAGAGUAAUACGUAGGUACCUGCCCUCGGGUCUGGGAUAGCUGCGGGAAACUGCAAUUAAUACCGGAUGACGUCUCUGGACCAAAGGUGUGAUUCCGCCAGGGGAUGGGCCUGCGUCCUAUCAGCUAGUUGGUGUGGUAACGGCGCACCAAGGCUAAGACGGGUACGGGGUGUGAGAGCAUGCCCCCGCUCACUGGGACUGAGAUACUGCCCAGACACCUACGGGUGGCUGCAGUCGAGAAUCUUCCGCAAUGGGCGCAAGCCUGACGGAGCGACGCCGCGUGUGGGAUGAAGGCCUUCGGGUUGUAAACCACUGUCAGUGGGGAGCAAAUGCAUCAGGGUUCUCUCUGGUGUUUGAGCGAUCCGCAGAGGAAGCACAGGCUAAUUCCGUGCCAGCAGCCGCGGUAAUACGGAAUGUGCGAACGUUAUUCGGAAUCACUGGGCUUAAAGAGUCCGUAGGCGGCCUGUUAGGUGAGGUGUGAAAUCCCCCGGCUCAACCGUGGAAUUGCGCUUCAAACCGGCAGGCUAGAGGAGGAUAGAGGUGGGCGGAACUGAUGGUGGAGCGGUGAAAUGCGUUGAUAUCAUCAGGAACACCGGAGGCGAAAGCGGUCCACUGGGUCCUUUCUGACGCUGAGGGACGAAAGCUAGGGGAGCGAACGGGAUUAGAUACCCCGGUAGUCCUAGCCUUAAACGAUGAGCACUAGACCGAAGAAUCUCCACGAUUUUUUGGUCGUAGCGAAAGUGUUAAGUGCUCCGCCUGGGGAGUAUGGUCGCAAGGCUGAAACUCAAAUGAAUUGACGG